Molecule: transfer RNA, 73 nt
Filed under: Sphaerodactylus townsendi
Lineage: Eukaryota; Metazoa; Chordata; Lepidosauria; Squamata; Sphaerodactylidae
Description: tRNA-Ile
Rfam family: tRNA
About the family: Transfer RNA (tRNA) molecules are approximately 80 nucleotides in length. Their secondary structure includes four short double-helical elements and three loops (D, anti-codon, and T loops). Further hydrogen bonds mediate the characteristic L-shaped molecular structure. tRNAs have two regions of fundamental functional importance: the anti-codon, which is responsible for specific mRNA codon recognition, and the 3' end, to which the tRNAs corresponding amino acid is attached (by aminoacyl-tRNA synthetases). tRNAs cope with the degeneracy of the genetic code in two manners: having more than one tRNA (with a specific anti-codon) for a particular amino acid; and 'wobble' base-pairing, i.e. permitting non-standard base-pairing at the 3rd anti-codon position.
Source: RNAcentral
GGUACUAUGGCUCAGUGGUAGAGCAUCUGUUUGAUAUGCAGAAAGACCCAGGUUCAGUCCCCUGGCAUAUCCA